UUACCUUAUUUAAGCUUCGUACCACUGCUAUCUCCCUUUUACAGAUGAAACAACCAAGGCUUCAGAUGUUGAGUAGCCCAAGGCCAUACAACUCUUAAAUAGUGGGGCUGGGAUUUGAAUCCAGAUCUGCUUUUCUCCAAAGCACCAAGCUGUGCUUGGUACCUCCUUAUGUAGUUCCUACAUCCCCAGUGUGAGACAACUGGGUUAUAUAAAGAAAUACUGGGUGCAGUGGGGUGCUUAAACAUCAACAUGGGCUUUUAAAUGUGGGCCGGAGAACUGGGCUAGUCUAGUCUGCCUUCUUUCCUUCCUUCAACAAAUGUUUAUGAGUGCAUGCUGUAUACCAAGGGCUUAUCUAGACAUUGAGAAAUCCUAGGAAGCAAAACAGACCACACUUACUAAGCUAUGUGACCUGAGCAAAUCACCAAAUGUGCUAGUUAUUAAGCAAUUGACUUUCACACCAACUUGCCUUCUGUAUGUGGCUUUGAGAUGGUGCAUCUAAGACUCUGCAAACCACAUUUCUCCUUUGCCGCUAGUCCCUGUGAAGCUCUGCCAGGGUGCUAGAUAGAGGGAGACUCAAGGAAGGAGAGGAAGAGGACACUCUUAUUUCUGUUGCCUUGCUAUCCCUGUCAGCUUCACCCUAGCAUCAGCAGUAGGUUCUGGCCUCCGGUUUUCUUCAGCACUCCCUGUCCAGUGUUGUCAUGUCAUCAUGCCCCCUCAAAUGUUUCAGCACCGGGAGGAGCAGCCACCCCUCCUCUCCAGUCUGAGCCCAGGCUCUGGGGUCCCCUCCUCUGAUCUCCUAGGUUUUCAUAGCCUAACCUUUUCCCCUUUGUUUCCCAGCCCUGGUGUGGUAGCUGCUUUCUACAGGGACUAUCUCUGUGUUACCACAAUGUUCACUGUUUUCCAGCCCUUCAAUAUCUAUAACGAGUGGUAUGCUUGUAAAUAUUUAACAACCAAUUCUCUAGAAAAACAAAAACCACAAAGAAACCAAUUUGUAAUGUGUGCCAAUUCCCAUAAUAUAAAUCAUUCACCAUGGAUAGUUUUAAAUUAUCAACAUGGCAUCCCUGAAUUUCACAAGCUGGUGUGAGCAGAUCCAGGAUACAAAUGCUGGCAACCAAUAUCCCCUAUAUUAAAAUGUCUGUGUUGAAGUACCUAGUUUCAUUUCUGUUUUCAGGACUGGGCCCUGAUUGAUAACACCUCAGCUUCUGAGCAUCUAUUUUUGGGCUCUGAAAUGGAAUUACUACCAUUUCUUCUAAUAGAGCUGUUUGGAUAAUAUGAAACAAUAUAAGUAAAACACUCUGAAAAUUACUUUUAAAAAUUUGAGACCAUAACAUAGUUUCUAGACGUUUCCACUGAAGGAAGUGAAGUCAGGAUGAUGAAAGUAGGCAAAGCAUUUUAAUGAUGGCUCACAGAGGUGUUCCAGGUGCUUUUAGAACCCAGGAUGACCUCAGAGCAUGGGUGGAGCCUGAUGACUCAGAAUCAGAGAGGCAGUCAUAUCAGUGACUGGAUUAUGAUGUCACAAGGCGUGUGUGUGGAUACUUUGUUCUUCAAGGAUUCUGAGACUGAAUAUUGUGCAAACCAAGAAAGCACAUAAACCCAAAGGGCAAACAAUUUAUGUAAUUCAACUAAUACCACAGAUGUGGGGCAGGGUUGAACUUUUACAUGAAAAUCUACUCAGUUGUACAAAGGAAAUAAAACUGUAGUUUUCCAUAACUGGCUAAACUUUUCCCUCAAGAUGUCAACCCACUGAGCACCUUGAGAAGGAAACAGUCUUUAAACUUGCAAAAUCACUAGGAUCUCCAUUUCUGCCAUUUAAGUAACCUCUUUGGAAUGACUUAGAGUGUGCGCCAAUGCUCAGUCUUCCCAAUCUCCUCUCCCUGCUCCUUUCCAGGGUCACAUUCUAGGGUAUGUGGGAGUGUAUAUGAUCUUAUGGCACAGGGAGGAGGCCUCAGAUUCACAUGUCCUCUGCCUUCUCCCUCUUCUCUUGCCUGAUCAUCUAGUUUUUUGUCUCUUCCUGACACAAAUACCGGAUUCUCAGACAUGUCUUUCUGAUGUAAAAGCAAAACAAAACAAAACAACACUACAUGCUGAGGCUUCUUAAUCCUGACCCCAGAUUUUGGCUAUCUGGUCAGGCCUCAACCCCUUCAUGUCAUCCAAAUAGGACACUUGGGAACUUUCAGGUACUCUGUACACUACACGUAGGCUAUAGGGACCCAGGGAUGCUGCCUCUGCUGCUUCUGCCUUCUUUGAGACUACCCGUCACUGCCCCUCACUGUUGGGUGUAGUGAAGCUAAAAGCUAGGCUCCUCCUAGAAGCCUGUGGACUCCCCAGACCAUGCCUGGGAAUGGAGCCACCACAUCCAGUUAACCUGGGCUCCCUGAUGCCCAGCUGGGUAUCUCUACACCUUCGUCUCCUUGAGGUUCAGCAAGGGAAGGCUGGCUAGAACCCUGGCAGUGGCAUCUAACCAACUCUGUCUUCUUCUGGAUCUGCCUAUGUUUUCCUUUCUCAUGCUUUUACCUCUUCAGAAUGAACAACCCUCACCAUAGCCUCCUUCCUCCUGGGGGCACCAGGCUUCCUGGCUAAAUGGCUAAGAAGAAUCCUCUUUAUGCUGUGGAAGAAGCUUUGGUCUGAGUUGAUAUGGGAGCCUCAGUAAAACUGGGCAUUAUGAGUUACUGAGGAUAAAAAUACAUUGGGUUAGUACUCUCAAACUAUUGCCCCCUUUAUAUAUAUAUCUAUAUACACACACAUAUAUAUACACACAUACAUACACAUAUAUUCAAUAUAUUUUAUAUUCAAUAUAUAUUGAAUAUUAUAUUCAAUAAUAUAAGUUGAUUGUUAUAUUCAACUAUAUAUAUAGUUGCCUUCAACUAUAUAUAUUUGUUAUAUUCAAUUAUAUAUAUCAACUAUAUGGUUGCCUUCAACUAUAUAUAUAUAUAUAGUUGAAUAUAACAAUCAACAAAGACAAAAUAUAGUAAUAGUUCUGGCCAAGAAAAUUUAUUUUUAUAGUUAAAAAAAGAUCCUUGGUUCCCCUGCUUACUGAAGUUAUGCAUACUUCUGGUAAAACAAGUGAACAAACAAUCUACAAUAUGUUUCUAAAUGUCCAACAAAGGGAAGAGAGCACCUCUGUUCUCCUGGUUUGGCCAAGGGCUACUGCUCAUAAAACAUCCUAGUUCACAAAAAGCUUGUUUAAAAAAACUUCCUUUAUAAGGUGCCAGCGUCUGUUCAGGGGCUAGCUAGGCAUUGUCCUUUCUAAGCCACUGGGAAUCUCUUCCUUUCGAGAGUCAGAAAGAAUAUUUUCUCUUGAGUUUGGAGACUAUAAGCUAGAAAAGAAGAAUGAGGCCCGGGGACCAGGUUGGAAGGUGGAAUGGAUAUGAGGAGUAGGAGAAGUCAUGGAUGCAAAGUGCAAUAGAAAAUUGUUUCUGGGGCCAAUCUAGAUUGAAUUUCCAACUGGGCUUCUGCCAUACCUUCCUUUAUGAGUACACAUGCACUCUGGUUUGUUUGGAUAUGUUCUACAGCAUUUGAUGAUGUUUAUAGAAUGAGAUGGGGAUACAAGCAUGGUGGUGUCCCUUCUCAGUUACAAAGUGCUGGAAGUAGGAUGCUCUGCUGAGCCCCAAUAGAAUACAAGUAUUUUCCUGAGUGCCAUAUGCUUUCUCUUCCAUUUUCCUAUAUGAUCUUCCAAACAGUCCCAUGUGGUGGGAAACCCCAUUUAAUAAAUGAGGAAAUGAAAGCCCAUGGCAGUUAAAAUGACACAAAGUAGAACUGGGACCACACUCAGGUCUCCUAAUCCUCAACCCAGGGCUCUUUUCUCUAUGCCAAGUUGCCCUACAAUGCCAGUGCAGAAGAGCCAACUGACUUUUCCUUCAAUCUCUUCCCAAGGCUGAGUUCCAUAUGAGAGCUGAGGUUUGCCAACCUGUUUUGCUCUGCUCAAAAGUGAUGGAAAUAGCAUAGAAAUCACAGUGUGCAAAUAUCCAAGUUGGCCUUUUUGAGUUGUUCCCCAUCCAGAAAGGCAAAGUAUUGAUCACAGAGGAACCUGAACAGGAGAACAAGAGAGUACAUGCUCCAUUUGGUGGGUUAGCAGAUUGUGAGUGCAAGAGUUAGGGAAAAGAGAAGAUAAAGAACAGAACAGCCAAUGACUGAAGACAGGAUUCCUGGGAUAUCGGUGUUCAAUGGACAACUUGAAGGUCAAACCCAGGCAGCUGUAAGUGAAUAAGUAGGUGACUUUGCAGUACCCCCGUCUGCAUUCCCAACUCAGAGAGGAAAAACUGUUCCUCUACCCUCUUAUGUCCAGUUUUGGGGGGCCUGCAAAUUAGACAGAUGAUAGAUUAGCAAGAAAAGACAGAUUUUAAUUAUGUAUAUAUGAAAGGGAGUUCACAAAGAAAUGUGACUCAAAAAGGCAGUUAGAAUUCGAGGUUUAAAUAUAUCUUAAUAGGUAAAGGAGAGUGAGUAAAAGAGUGCUUAUGGGAAAGCAAAUGACUUUUAGGAAAGCUAAAUGGAUGCUUAGCAGAAUAAAUGGGAGCUAUAAUACGUUUGUGACAAUGACUGUUGGUGUGGUGCCUACUUCUCAUUGUCUGAUUUCUCAUUGUCUCUGAUGAUAAAAGUCAUUCUUCCCUGGUUGAUUUAUGACAAUUGAGGUCUAUUCAAAAGUCCUGCUUUUAGGCAGUUAAGGGAUCUCAGGAACUCAAAUGCUUUCAGCUCAAAAUAUUUUUAUGCCACAGUGGCUUAUCCUAAACACCUUCACUACCUUCUACCUCGCACUGAACUCACAGUCUAUUUCCUCCAAGGAGGAAAUUUGCGCUUUUUAUAUUAUAUGUAUUAUUUGUAAUUAAAAGUCUUGAUAAACUUUAAAAAAAAAAAA
Molecule: long non-coding RNA, 4852 nt
Filed under: Homo sapiens (human)
Lineage: Eukaryota; Metazoa; Chordata; Mammalia; Primates; Hominidae
Description: non-protein coding lnc-FOXN2-5:1
Source: RNAcentral